Molecule: ribosomal RNA, 522 nt
Filed under: Streptomyces sp. 310C05
Lineage: Bacteria; Bacillati; Actinomycetota; Actinomycetes; Kitasatosporales; Streptomycetaceae
Description: bacterial SSU rRNA
Rfam family: Bacterial small subunit ribosomal RNA
Source: RNAcentral
UAGUGGCGAACGGGUGAGUAACACGUGGGCAAUCUGCCCUUCACUCUGGGACAAGCCCUGGAAACGGGGUCUAAUACCGGAUAAUACCUGCCUGGGCAUCUGGGUGGGUUGAAAGCUCCGGCGGUGAAGGAUGAGCCCGCGGCCUAUCAGCUUGUUGGUGAGGUAGUGGCUCACCAAGGCGACGACGGGUAGCCGGCCUGAGAGGGCGACCGGCCACACUGGGACUGAGACACGGCCCAGACUCCUACGGGAGGCAGCAGUGGGGAAUAUUGCACAAUGGGCGAAAGCCUGAUGCAGCGACGCCGCGUGAGGGAUGACGGCCUUCGGGUUGUAAACCUCUUUCAGCAGGGAAGAAGCGAAAGUGACGGUACCUGCAGAAGAAGCGCCGGCUAACUACGUGCCAGCAGCCGCGGUAAUACGUAGGGCGCAAGCGUUGUCCGGAAUUAUUGGGCGUAAAGAGCUCGUAGGCGGCUUGUCACGUCGGGUGUGAAAGCCCGGGGCUUAACCCCGGGUCUGCAUUCG